AGGAUGAACGCUGGCGGCGUGCUUAACACAUGCAAGUCGAACGAUGAAGGCUGGAGCUUGCUCUGGCUGGAUUAGUGGCGAACGGGUGAGUAACACGUGAGUAACCUGCCCCAGACUCUGGGAUAAGCGCUGGAAACGGCGUCUAAUACCGGAUACGAGCUUCCACCGCAUGGUGAGGAGCUGGAAAAGAAUUUUCGGCAAGGAUGGACUCGCGGCCUAUCAGGUAGUUGGUGAGGUAACGGCCCACCAAGCCUACGACGGGUAGCCGGCCUGAGAGGGUGACCGGCCACGACGUGGGACUGAGACACGGCCCAGACUCCUACGGGAGCAGCAGUGGGAAUAUGCACAAGUGGGCGCAAGCCUGAUGCAGCAACGCCGCGUGGACGGACGACGGCCGUUCGGUUCGUAAACCGUUCGUUUUAAGUAAGGGUAAGAAGGACGUAAAGU
Molecule: ribosomal RNA, 447 nt
Filed under: uncultured soil bacterium
Lineage: Bacteria
Description: bacterial SSU rRNA
Rfam family: Bacterial small subunit ribosomal RNA
Source: RNAcentral